This 7260-nucleotide long non-coding RNA is filed under the name Equus caballus (horse). RNAcentral's name for it is "lncRNA (ENSECAG00000048157.1)". The record is from RNAcentral. Lineage: Eukaryota; Metazoa; Chordata; Mammalia; Perissodactyla; Equidae.
GAUUUUUAUAAUGCGUAUUUAUUAUUCAAAUGGCCUGACAAUGUUCAAAGUGUUUGAAAAAGAAGAGCAGGAAUUUGACCUCCUUCGAACCCACAUCUUCACCUCCCAGCCCCGCCGUGGGUGGAGAAGGGCACGGGUCAUUUGCUCUUUUACUAGAGUUUAUCUCCCCUCAGUACUUCUCCCCGGACCCCAACAGCCCUCCCCGCUGAGGUCUGGCCCGGUACUCAGUCAGGGUCCUUUAAGCAGUGGGGCUGCGGGUGGCCUCUCCUUCCUCCUGGGUGAGGCGGGAGGGGGCGCUGGUCUGGCAGGCGCUGGGCAUCUCUCUGCUGGAGCAUGGGUGCCCUGAGGAGCCGGGACCACUAUGGAGGCUGGUGAAGCAGGAGAGGGGAUCAGGGGAGGAGAGAGAAAGCAGAGCUGGCCCAUGAGCAGGCUGGCCACUGAAAGAGGAGGCAAGACAGGAGAGUCAGGGGGAGGGAGCCAGAACUCACCUACCAGCCCCGUGCUUUCCUGGGGUCCCUGACAGCGCCCACAACAGAAUCAACCACCCACCUGUCACAGGGGUCUGUGCCCCACCCUCACUGAGUGACACUGGCUUGCCCCCUACUGCCUUCUGCCUCAGUUUCCCCAACCAUUAACCACCAUCCUGGACAGAAAGUGAAUGGAGACCCAGGGCCAUGGGGAUGUCAGGCCCACCUCCCCUCUUUUCUUUCCAUCGUUUCCUCUCCCAACCAGCGCCCCCUCCCUAGCCAGGCCCCCCUUCUAGUUUUCCUGGCUAAAACCUGCCACAGACACCACCACACCCGGAAAGAGAUAAAUAAAUAAAAGAAAAACAACCUCAACUGUGAAAAGCAGUCCAAAUCUGAUUUUUUUCCGGCCUGAGUUAAUUACACUUUAAAUUGGCAUGUUUACUGAUCAGGGAUUUCAAGUUAACAGAGACACCCCCCUCCCCAACUGUUUGUACAGUAAAACUCGGCAGGCUGGCGGGCUCCCCCAGGCCUUGGCAGGCCCCGCUGCUCCCCUGCCAAUGGGAGAGCAUAACAGAAACAUCUAUUUUUGAGUGUUGGAGAAAACGAAGCUAUCACAGAUGGUGGGAAGCGCCAUUCUGGAUGCUUUCCCACCCCCACCCCCACCCCCACCGAAGGGCUCUGUGCACCUUCUCCACGGCGUCUUGCCCUGGGGAGGACCAGGGCCUUCACUCUCAGGGGACCCCAGACACGGGGCCCAGCCUGCUCAGGCACCCCUCACACAGCAGCGCUACCCGUGAGGGGUUCACUCCCAUCUCUGCGGCUCCACUGGGAGCAGGGCCUGCCUCUCCUCGGAGCAAGGCUGUGCGGGGCGUGGAGGGAGCUCUGGGGAGGAGUCAGGAGGCCCCGUUUCAUUCAUUCACUCAGUGAACACUGUUUGGAGCUCAGAAGAGCUGCUCUGAGUAAGAUGGCACCAUCCCUAAUAAUGGGCUUGGGUUUCCCUUAAACGCUGUGGGCCCUGGGCAAACCCCCCCUCUGCUCCAGGCACAAGUGGGAGGCAACCAGUGCACUUACCAGAACCGAGGAACUCCUCCAGGAUCAGGCUGGGCUCCCCAGCUCACAGCGCACGUCUCUCCAGGCACAAGAGGUCUGGUGUAGGCUCCUCUGGUCCAGCCCUUGGCUCAUGGUUGGGGUCAACCAAAGGCUCCAUGCAUGGGAUGUCUGUAUACUGGGCACAGGCAAGCGCCUGGUCCAGCACACCUGCAAAGGGAAGACAAGGCCAAUGAGCAUCAUGUGGCGCCUUCCCCGGGCUAGGUUCUGUGUCCCAUGGUGACCAAACCAGAAACAGUCCCUGCCUCUGUGCAGCCUGAAAGCUGGGCAGGGAGAGACAUUGAUCAAAGGAUCAGAGGACUGAUAACUGACUGCAUAUUGGAGUUGUAUGUAUAGAGGUGGAUCAAGGAAGGCUUCCUGGAGGAGGUAGCACUGGAGCAGAGCCUUCAAGGAUAAGGAGGGACAGGCAUUCCAGGCAGGGCCACAGCUUGAGCAAAGGCAUGGCACUGGGACUUGUAGAUAUGAAAACAACUUCAGCACCCAGAACCCGAAGAGUUCUUUGAGAGGUCCCAUCACACUCCCAUUUGGGUCCUGCAGCCAUAAAGGCACCAAAGUCCUACCCGGGGACUGGCCACGUGGCCCAAUGUGGCUCCUGUCCUCCCUGCUGCCCACACCAGGCCUUCCGGGCCCCAGACCUGCCCUUCCUCGGGGUCCUUCCCCAGCCCCAGCCCUGCGCGCACUCCGCGGGCUGGCGGGCAGCGCGCUUCGCAUGCGUCCUCCACGUCCUGAGUAAGAUGGCACCAUCCCUAAUAAUGGGAUGAUGAUGAACGAGACCGCAUGGCGCCCGUGCUUCCCGGCCCUAGGGCCUGUCCCUGCUGGUGACAAAUGGCCCCUCUGCCUCCACGGGGUCUUCACAGCGGCCUCGACUGCAUGGCCUUGGCGGAGAUUCAUGUCUGUCUACCCCAGAUUCUUCUUCCUGUCUCUGCUUCUUUAUUCCCUCAGAGCAUGCUUUCAUUUAUUCAUUCCACAAACAUUCUCCCAGCGCCUCCUGCGUAGUCGCUCCCGGCUAUAAAGAUCGGAUUCAAUACACCCUCACGUGCUGAACACCUGCGCUGCGCCGGCGUGUGAGGCCAGCUUUGAUCCGGGUAUUAGCUGUGCACCUACUGUGAGCCGGCUCCGCGGAGUCAAGGCCAUGGCUUCGGGAAGCCCAGCGGCAGGAGGCAGCAUCCCCGCCGCGGGUACUGAGUCCCACUAGGUGCUUCUACAGCCCCAGGCUGCUGGGUCCCCUCUGUCACAAGGAGGGAACCUACUUCUUCACCAGAGGCGGGUCUUACUAAAAACCUAGAUUCAGCUGAGGAAAUGUCAAGAUCGGGUUAGCUUAAUUCAAUGAUUCGUGAACCGCGGGGCACUGUAUCUCGCAAGCAGAAGGGAGCUCCAAGGAGCUGUAGGAAAUGGCAGGAUUUUCUAGGCAGGGGGUCUAAUGGGGCGGACGACCUCACUGGGGCUCCCGAGGAACUUCCAGACUGAGGGGUUCAACAGUGCGCUUGGGGAGCGGCUGGGACCGCCCUCAGGCGAGGCGUGGAGUCCUGGUGGGGUUUAGCACAAGGGGCGCCGUUUGCAGCCUGUUUCCUUUCAAGUCUCAACCUCAAAGUUAGAGACAACCCACAGGAAGAAGCCAUGGCAGAGCUCUUGGAGCUCCGUGGUCUUGCCUGUAAGGAGGUGCAAGGGGGCAGGGGCAACGGGACGAGAGGUCUCACUCAGCCUGGACAUUUAGGGGUUCUUUGCAUCCUCGGGGGCCCACUGAGACUGUGACCUCGGGGAAGGGGUAGGGGGUGGUCUCCAGGACGGCACCAGCCACCACUCCGUGCAGUGCCAGGAGGUGUACAAGCCGGAAGCCGGGGGUGGGGGGGACCUGGGGGGAGCCCCGCCCUGCAGAGAUGCGCUGGCGAGUCUGCGCCCUGUUCCAGCUCACGGGCCGCCCUGACUAGAUCUGCACUCAACGAGGCAGCAAAUACCGCCGUCAGACGCGCUCAAUGUGGCCGCAAGACGCGGGGCCAUGCGGUCUCAGUACCUAGAUCUCCCUGGACCCAGGCUUCCGACAGAGCCAGCAGCCCUCCCCCAGGCCAGGCACAGCCAGGGGCCACGGGGCUGCACCCAGCUGCAACCCCCCAUUUUGUGGGCGAUGCCACCGGAGACCCCAGGUGGGUGCAGGGAUAAAGGCCAUGAAAAGUAUAGCAAGCUAAGUGUGGGGAAAAGGGAGCCUACCCCAUCGUGCAAAGAGAAUUUGGGGAGAUUUGACGGGCCCACCUUCUUCUAGGACACAGGGACAGUUCCUGAAGCCAGGCGCUGGCUCGCAAGCAACAGCAGGCAGCGAGCUUGAUUAAGAACAAGCAGCCUGGAGCCAGACCCUGCCCUGCCGCCCUGCUGGAUCAUCUUGGCCAAGUCACUCAACCUCUCUGUGCCCCAUUUCUUUAUCCGUGAAACAGAACCUGCCCCCAAGGGCUGAGGAGGAGCAUGAGUAAACACCCCAGAGUGGAGGCGGGCCCAGGAACAAGGCAAAAGCCCAUUUGGGGCAGCUAUGAUUUUUCUUAUCUCCCUUGAAAAUGACAAGAGGAUGGGAACGUGGGUCCGAUUUGCCCAACGCCCUCCAGAUUCUUGUGGAACCGUGUCCAGGGGACACAGUGCGGGGAGCUGGGACACCAGCCCACGCAGGCACCAGGAAAGGCGUGCACGUGAACUUGGAGCCACGGUUGGGUUUACGCAGCACCUCAGAGGUGGGCCCAGGGCUCUGAACCUCCGGCUCAGGGUCCCCGGGAAUCUCAUCCUGGCCGCUGGGGGGACCGACGUUCUCAUUCAGCUUGUCAGAUGAGAAAAGCUCUUUGUUUAUUUUCUCUUCUCCUCAAACAACAGAUAAACCAGUAAUUUGGCUUUUAAUGAAAUUCUGCACUCAGCAGCAUGGGGUCACUGUCUUUGGGUCUCAGAUGAGUCUGGAACAUCCCGCUGCAAUGCCUGCUACCCUGGGCUGACACUUUGUCUCAUGCAUAGUUCUCAAGUGGUGACUGAUGUACCCAAGCGGUGGCCUAUAGCGGACUCGGGGGGGUGCCCGCGCUUGUUAAUGCCGUGGUGUGGGGACGGUUACAUUGGAGUUAUUAAGGAAGGGUAAUGUCGCCUCCCACCCCCCACAUACAUUUAAUAUAUUACAAAGAUGUGUGGCUGCAUUAAAGCAAUUUUCAUCUCCAAAUGUUCCCAUUUAGUCAGUUCCAUGCAUAAAAUAUUAGCCCUGACACCAGGCUCCAGCCCGUCGCAGACGGAGUUCCCCAGAGCACCUGGCUCUGCCGGCCACCGAUCGGCCGGAAGCUGGGGGCGCACUCAGUUGGUGUCUGCGGGAUCAUAUGGGGGCUGGUCACUCCUUUCAGGGCCCCGGGGACCCCUUGGGAGGUGGAAAGAAGAGCCCACAACCAGCUCACCUGUCUCUUUUGCAGCAAACCUCAGACUCUGAAAUCACAUCCUGGAAAGGACAGAAAAAGCCGGAAAACCAAACAGCUUUUAACAAAUGCAAAGAAUUUCUAAAGCCGAUUACCAUAUUCAUGGGCUCUUCACCAAGUCUUCUUGCCUGCCUCCUUUGGGCCUGGCACUUUCCUGGGGUUAACUUCAUAAGGUCCCUGCCCUUAGGGAGUCUGACAGUCAAUCAACAAACACCCAUCAUUCCUCUGCUAUGGGCCUGGCUGGGUCCUGGGGUUGGGGACACACCAGGUAACAGGACAGAAAAAAUGCCUGCCCUCAGAAAUCUUACAGUCUAAGGGGAGAGGGAAGUAGACAUUAACCUCAAUUCACUUUGGAUGGCAGAAAGCUAAGGCAGAAAACCUGACAGGGUGGCUGAUUGAAGCUGGCUGGGAAGAGUUGGGGGCUAGACUGGGGGACCAGGGACAUUUCAUCCCCUCUAGAAUCCUGAACUCCUGCUCUAGAAAGGGGGCUGCCACUUGCAGGGGGAACAGGACACUGUGUGGAGUGUCCUGAAAAAAGGAUAUGCAGGGCACGGGGACUGGGGACGGAGGUCUGGACCCUGGACGGCAGGAGGCUAGGGGCAGGCUGCACAGAGGAGACCACCGGGACUCAGCUCCCCGUGGGAGGACAGAGGGAUGCUAACUGGGACAUACUGUGAAGCAUGAAAGGCAGGAAGUGGCAGGAAUGAGGGUGGCCGGUCCAGGGCCUUGGGACACUAGUCACCAUCUUGGAGCCAGCCACGAGGGGAGGGGUGCAACAGAGGGGCUCCAGGCUGUGCAGAGAGAGCCAGACUGCACUCUGGGGAGUUCUCCCUGGCAGAAGGAGGAGGAGGCAGUGGAGGGAGAACCAACGGAGGCCUGUGCAGUGGUCCAGGCCCAGAGAGACCCCCGUCUUGACAGAGAAUCCCACAGGGGAGAGGCAUGCACGGUGGUGAGACCUCCAGGGUGAGGAUGUGGUCCUGCACCCCUGGGGAUGCUGCCACCCCGCUCAGAAAGAGCUUCCUGAGGCCCACGAGACAGUUAACGAACACUGACCCCUCGCCCACCCUGUGGAGGCAUCUUGGAGUUCACGUGUCCAACUGCCCUGGACCCUUCCCACCCCCGGUGAUCCUGCCGUGGUCUGAGUAGGGCCGAGGACGUGAGGAUGCCAAGGUGAAAUGGGGACCAGCAGGUAAAGGCCUGGCCCCACGCGGAGGGAACCGCCAGGGGCAGGGAUGUUGGGGCGCACCGACUAGGGGACUCAGAGGUCCCUCCGUGGUGUUUUGAGAAGCCCUCCAGAACGGAGGGGGCUGGGAAACUACCAGGCCAGGUGGCACAGGAGCUACAGCAGGUGCCCAGGUGAGCCAAUCCAGAGGCUUCCGCCGCCUGGAGUCGGCACCCGGAGUGGAGGUUGUCCACGGCGGGAUUCGAUUCCGGAAAGAGGUUGACUGUAUAAUAUUCAUCGUAUAGAAAGUGAACACCUCACAGGCAACCUAUUUCAGGGACCACUGAGCAGGGCUGACUCCAGACGGGAGGUUCUUCCUCCAGACGGCCCGCCACCCGCCCCGGGGGGGCGGGAUGCGAGGUGGCAGGGGCGGGCCCUUGGCCAUGCAGUGGCGGCGCGGCCCUCCCGACGGCGGGCGUGCAGGAGGCAUGCAAGGCGGGAGCUGAUACUGAAGAGAGGUCGACCGUGUAUUGUGCGUCAUGAUGGAUGCGAACGCGCCACGGGCGACCUCUCCUCAGCACCACGUGGAGCAGCACGCUCAGCAGGCAGGCCUCCGGCUCUUCCCAGGGGUGUCACCCUGCGGGGCUCCGAGGCACUGGGGUGAGGGGAACGCGGCCGGGACACGCUUCCCGGGUGCAGGCCAUGCAUGUGGUCAGCCCUCAGUGAGGGGUUCCAUUGGGGAGCCCUCUGCCUCAAUGGCACUGAGCAUGGAAACAGCCAGAGCCCGUGUCACUCGUCACACGUCAAGCGAAUGCUUCAUGACCAGCCUCCCCAAUGCAAAACCCCCGCUUCUUCCCCGAAGUCGACAUGCCCUCCAGGAAGCUCUCCCAGGACGGAGUCAAAAUGUUGAAGGUCAGCAGAGAGGGUGGUAAAUGUCAUUGCAGAGCCCAUGCAUUCACGUACCCUGGACGGGGCAGGCCUCAGGCCCGGCCCUGCAUGCGAGGCGUAGGUGGUACUGAAGACAGGCCAUCUGUGUUAUAUUCGUCAUUAAUAAAGCGAACUCAUCACAGACAACCUCUCCUCAGCUACCCAAGGUGAC